Molecule: long non-coding RNA, 2452 nt
Organism: Megalops cyprinoides (Indo-Pacific tarpon)
Lineage: Eukaryota; Metazoa; Chordata; Actinopteri; Elopiformes; Megalopidae
Exons: 3
Source: RefSeq, a predicted model, not a curated record
CGGAAAUGGCAUGCAGGAGGUAUGCCUAAUAAAAGUAUGACAUUUGUUUUACAAGGCUCGCGCACACAAUGUUUACAGCUGGCGCUUAUUUGCAUUCGGUUGCUGUGGAUACUAUCUCGGUGAUAUCCCAAAAAACCUGAGCGUAGUCCGUCAAAUUCAGGGCACGGAAUCGUUUGACUUAGACACAAUGUCAUUAAAGUAAGCACGCGAUUGAGAAAAAAUGGAGUUCUACCGAGGCAUGUGGUAUAUGAUGAGCGACCAAAGAAGACAGACAAAAGGUGCUAAAAUUAAUGGUGGAGGGGCGGAGGGGGGCGGCCGUAAUGGGAGGAGUUCAUUUCGUAAUCUUGCUCCUCUACAUCUCGCGGCUGAUCAGACGCAGACUUUUUUAGACGAGCUCUCAGCAUUGUGUACGCCCUGACAAGGAUGCUUGUGGGGACGAUCAAAACGCUACAUGCAAACUACAGCUGGCCUGGCGACAGACACGGAGGAAGACGAACCUUGAGGGGUGCAAGCGAUGGGUGAGGACGGGAGAGCAAUUCUUGGAGCCUCGGGCCAGUUCUGCCUCCAGGAUGGCACUCCUGCACUCAGGUAACCGUUCCGCUCCGCUUCCUGCCCGGAUUGAACUUGGGGGACAGAGGGACACAGAUCGCGGUGAGGGUGAGGGCUCCAAAAUUCCAUUUUCCAGAGGCCGGAUUUAAACCCAGUCUCCCGUAGGCUGCCUAGAUAGGAAUUCCUUCAGAAGAGAUUGUGUUAUCUAAUACAGGUCAGGUGAAGGCAGCAGAACAAAAUGAAAAUUGAAUAUCGUUCUAAAUAUCGAGGCUUGAAUAGUUCACUACGUGAAGUGAAUACUGCAUUCUGUUACUAAUUACUUUAUCCUGUUCACACAUGCUGGGCAAUAGUAAAUAGGAAAUAGUGAUGCUUAUGUGGAAAUGUUUUUGUGCAGUGAAUCAUGUUUUAUGGGAUUCAUACAAUUAAUGAUUCAUGGCUGUUAGCUGUAGAGCCUUUGCUCGGAGUCAUCCAGUUGCACUCAUUGCCGUAUGUUUCUUUUCUUGUCAUUACGUUUCAUGAUCAGGGGAUACUGUUUUAUCAUUUUAAGGGUGUCUGUCUAAUGGGGAUGUGUAGUUAUGUUUGUAUAUGUAUGCUGAGGAGUAUGGCUCGCUUUAACCUGGAAUGUUUUGGUAUGGCCAGUGGUCUGCCUUACAGCCUACCCAUUACUCAAACGUUGUUCUCACCAGCAUGCUUGGAGCGAUCUCCCAUUUCCCCCUCCUUUCAAAGGCACCAGCUCUCUGCAGGUAGCAGAAUGCAAGGGAUUUCAAAGCCAGUUCACCGUAGGGGGGAUGAUUGGAUGGACAGAUGCGGAGAGCCAGAUUGGAAAAUUGGCCAGGAGGCGUGGGUUAACAUCCCUGCUUUUCCGAUAAGUGCUGUGGGAUCUUUAAUGAUCACAGUGAGUCAGGACCUCUGUUUAAUGUCUGAUCUGAAAGAUGGCAUCUCCUGCAGCACAGUGCCUCCAACAGCGGGGUGUUGGUUUUCCACUUGGUCCAGAGCAAGUCUGACCCCUACUGGCUCACCGGCAUCACUUCCAGCAGCUUCCAUCACUUCCCCAGAAAUCUUUCAUUCAGGUACUGACCAGGCUCAGCUCCAAUUAGGGUAUGGCCACUGGAUAGUUUGUACAGUACCAGAAGGUUAACCGUAUUUCAAUGACUAAUUGUAAUGGUUGAUGGUACACAAAUACGAUUUAUGUUGUAUGCAACGCCAGGACCUUGAACCAGUCAUCAGUCAUUUCAAUUGUGCAUUUCAGGUACAGUGACCUUUCACCUUUCACCCUGUAGGAUUUGGAGACUUCACACCAGGGCACAAUGACCUGAGAAGCUUGUCAGUAUAACGUGCUCAGUCAAAGUUGUGGGACAGUCCAGUCCCACUGGAUGUGACAGAAGGACAGAAAGACGACAGGGCGUUCCCCUUGUUCAGAAUUUAAGCUCACAGCUUUCUCUGCUUGGAGGUGACCAGGGUUUGGGAGGGGUGGUGGUGGCGGUGGUAAGGACGCCAAAGCAAAACUGAUGGAGCCACAGUGUCAGCAUCCCCUUCAGAUGUCCCCAUGGUGAGUGACCAGGAGGAGUCACAGGAGGUCCUGUUCCACUUUCUGCUGCUCUCUUUUACUCUGUCCCUCUUCAGAUGAGCCGGGGAUCACGCAAAGAUGAAGUGUCGUCUUCCAUGCCGGUGAAUAUCUGUCUGUCCAUCUGUCCAGACUGCCCAAGACAGUAUGCUGCCUUAAAGAUAUUAUACAGAGGUUUGAGAGCGGUGUGGGAGUCCCCACCCUAUGGAAUGGGUGUGAGGGAAGAGGCCUGGCACUGCCCUGUCUUGGGAGAGGAGAGGAGGCCCCUGCAGUUGGAUCACAGCAGCCAUUGGGAAACUCAACACAGGAUGUAUGCAGUACAUACAAUGGCAACCAAAA